GACGAACGCUGGCGGCGUGCUUAACACAUGCAAGUCGAACGCUCAAGCUUGGUGCUUGCUCUGGGUGGAUGAGUGGCGAACGGGUGAGUAAUACGUGAGUAACCUGCCCUUGACUCUGGGAUAAGCCUGGGAAACUGGGUCUAAUACUGGAUAUGACAUGCCACUGCAUGGUGGUGUGUGGAAAGGGUUUUCCUGGGUUUGGAUGGGCUCACGGCCUAUCAGCUUGUUGGGGUGGUAAUGGCAUACCAAGGCAACGACGGGUUGCCGGCCCGAGAGGGUGACCGGCCACAAGGCGCCUGAGACACGGAGCAGACGCCUACGGGACGCAGCAGUGGAGAAUAUUGCACAAUGGGCGGACGUCUGAUGCAGCGAUCUCGCGUGCGGGAUGACGGCCUUCGGGUUGUAAACCUCUGUCUGCGUGGAAGAAGCGGGAGUGACGGUACGUGCAGAGGAAGCGACGGCUAACUACGUG
Molecule: ribosomal RNA, 472 nt
Filed under: uncultured bacterium
Lineage: Bacteria
Description: partial 16S ribosomal RNA
Rfam family: Bacterial small subunit ribosomal RNA
Source: RNAcentral